Molecule: ribosomal RNA, 433 nt
Filed under: Dialister invisus
Lineage: Bacteria; Bacillati; Bacillota; Negativicutes; Veillonellales; Veillonellaceae
Description: bacterial SSU rRNA
Rfam family: Bacterial small subunit ribosomal RNA
Source: RNAcentral
GACGAACGCUGGCGGCGUGCUUAACACAUGCAAGUCGAACGAAAAGAGGGAAAGAGCUUGCUCUUUCCGGAAUUGAGUGGCAAACGGGUGAGUAACACGUAAACAACCUGCCUUCAGGAUGGGGACAACAGACGGAAACGACUGCUAAUACCGAAUAAGUUCCAAGAGCCGCAUGGCCCAUGGAAGAAAAGGUGGCCUCUACCUGUAAGCUAUCGCCUGAAGAGGGGUUUGCGUCUGAUUAGCUGGUUGGAGGGGUAACGGCCCACCAAGGCGACGAUCAGUAGCCGGUCUGAGAGGAUGAACGGCCACACUGGAACUGAGACACGGUCCAGACUCCUACGGGAGGCAGCAGUGGGGAAUCUUCCGCAAUGGGCGAAAGCCUGACGGAGCAAACGCCGCGUGAGUGAUGACGGCCUUCGGGUUGUAAAAACUC